RNAcentral lists this transfer RNA (60 nucleotides) under Pseudorimula sp. RSIO35641. Its description in RNAcentral is "tRNA-Lys". Lineage: Eukaryota; Metazoa; Mollusca; Gastropoda; Lepetellida; Lepetodrilidae. The record is from RNAcentral.
AGGUGGCUGAGACCUAAGCACUAGACUUUUAAUCUAGCUACGGUAACACUUCUUACCCCU